GUCUUUGUAGUAUAACAAAAUACCCCGGUCUUGUAAACCGGAAAAGGAGAACCCCAUUCCUCCCUAAGACUCAAGGAAGAGACAUUAAACCUCACCACCAACACCCAAAGCUGGAAUUCUACAUAAACUAUUCCUUG
Molecule: transfer RNA, 137 nt
Filed under: Sousa chinensis (Indo-pacific humpbacked dolphin)
Lineage: Eukaryota; Metazoa; Chordata; Mammalia; Artiodactyla; Delphinidae
Description: tRNA-Thr
Source: RNAcentral